CGAGCUAACACUCAUCAACCCUGUGACAUACCUAAAACGUUGCUUCGGCGGGAACAGACGGCCCCGUAACACGGGCCGCCCCCGCCAGAGGACCCCCUAACUCUGUUUCUAUUAUGUUUCUUCUGAGUAAAACAAGCAAAUAAAUUAAAACUUUCAACAACGGAUCUCUUGGCUCUGGCAUCGAUGAAGAACGCAGCGAAAUGCGAUAAGUAAUGUGAAUUGCAGAAUUCAGUGAAUCAUCGAAUCUUUGAACGCACAUUGCGCCCGCCAGUAUUCUGGCGGGCAUGCCUGUUCGAGCGUCAUUACAACCCUCAGGCCCCCGGGCCUGGCGUUGGGGAUCGGCGAGGCGCCCCCUGCGGGCACACGCCGUCCCCCAAAUACAGUGGCGGUCCCGCCGCAGCUUCCAUUGCGUAGUAGCUAACACCUCGCAACUGGAGAGCGGCGCGGCCACGCCGUAAAACACCCAACUUCUGAAUGUUGACCUCGAAUCAGGUAGGAAUACCCGCUGAACUUAAGCAUAUCAAUAA
RNAcentral lists this ribosomal RNA (527 nucleotides) under fungal sp. enrichment culture clone ZJ15. RNAcentral's name for it is "partial 18S ribosomal RNA". The stretch from base 149 to 302 matches the Rfam family "5.8S ribosomal RNA". The record is from RNAcentral. Lineage: Eukaryota; Fungi.